Molecule: long non-coding RNA, 1423 nt
Organism: Zingiber officinale
Lineage: Eukaryota; Viridiplantae; Streptophyta; Magnoliopsida; Zingiberales; Zingiberaceae
Exons: 3
Source: RefSeq, a predicted model, not a curated record
UUCCAUUCUAUCGAUUCAUUCCUGAAUUUCAUGAAUUAAUUUUUUUAUAAUGUCAAAAUAAAUGUUAUCCUAAUCUCCGUAUCUUCAAAACCAACCGGCCAUUUUCCUUCUCCUCCUUCUGUCACCAUUUACCUUUUGUCACGAUCUCCUCCGUCAACCACAACCCUUCGCCAUUGGUUCUUGGUCUUCUCCGUCAGCCUAACACUUUAUCUUCAAAACUAGUCGGCGAUUUUCCUUCUCCUCCCUCUGUCGCGAUUUCCCUUCCGUCGCAAUCUCCUCCAUCAACCGUAGUCCUCCGUCACUGGUAUCUCUUGUUCUCCUUCGGCCAGGUUCUUGGAUUUUUCUCUGCCCAACCGUCUGACGUUAAGGUUCAUCGGAUCAAUAUUCUUACACAGUUGGUGGUUCUUUUCAUACCCAAUUUUUAAAAGUGUUGUGCAUCUCUGAACUAGGUUUUGAUGGUGGCAUACAAACCUGAAAAUCACACUGAAAUUCCCUCAAAAAAAACUAGAGUUUUAAGUUGAUUCAUUUUCCGGUUAAAUUAGAAAAGUUGGGUUUUUCUGUUCGUCUCUUCUUGAGAUUUAGCCUAUGGCAAUGAUGCAAAGAAGUUCUAAAAUCAAAUAAUGUGAAUGAUCCUUAGUCUAAAUCAUGAUAAGUACACAAAGAAGAAACAAUAAAUAAAUGUAACAUAUAGCUUACCAGAGCAGGAAUGAAUACAAACAAGGAAUAGCCAUAUAAACACCAAAGUUGAACGAGAGCAGAUGGUGUUGAGAAGUAUGUAAGUAUGAUGAAUAAACCAAGGGGGACAAAGGUGACAUAGCCAUAGAAUAAACCAGCAGACUAAGUGGCCAAAUUGAUAUCAUAGUCCCACUCUUUAUGCUGCAACUUGUGUGCUAAAUAUGUGACAAAUGUGCCAAUGGCCGUUGCCACAGAUCAAAGUGGUGCAUAUCCAGAAUGGACCAUAUCUGCAAAAGUAGCAAAAGCAGUUAAAACUCUAGACUGCUAUCGCAACUUGUUCAUCUCAUCUAGGCUGAAAGCUUCAAGAAAAAAAACAAGUAUGAUGAAUAGUAAUACAAUGGAUGACUAUAACCAAGAGACAAGUGAUAUGAAAUACGGAAGAGGCAAGAACAAGCGAUUUUGGACCGAGGAGGAAAGCUGGGUCUUAAUUAGAUGUUUACAAGAUAUGACCACUGAUCCUCUAUGGAAAAUAGAUGGUGGUUUUAAGAACAAUUACAUGAACAAGAUAAAAAUGUUGGUGGUGCAAAAGUUGCCCUAGUUGACAAUCGAAGUGAAGCACAUUGACUCUAGGAUCAAGUUCUUGAAGGGAAGGUACAAUGCUAUUAAUGAAAUGUGCAAGCAGAGUGGUUGUUCCUAGAAUGAUGUUGAAAAAAAGAUUGCAUGUGAAUUUACAUAAUAUACUGAAUGG